GGAUUAGAUAGCCUGGUAGACACGCCGUAAACGAUGUCGACCAGCCGUUGGGUGCCUAGCGCACUUUGUGGCGAAGUUAACGCGAUAAGUCGACCGCCUGGGGAGUACGGCCGCAAGGUUAAAACUCAAAUGAAUUGACGGGGGCCCGCACAAGCGGUGGAGCAUGUGGUUUAAUUCGAUGCAACGCGAAGAACCUUACCUACUCUUGACAUCCUGCGAACUUGUGAGAGAUCACUUGGUGCCUUCGGGAACGCAGAGACAGGUGCUGCAUGGCUGUCGUCAGCUCGUGUUGUGAAAUGUUGGGUUAAGUCCCGUAACGAGCGCAACCCUUGUCCUUAUUUGCCAGCGCGUAAUGGCGGGAACUCUAAGGAGACUGCCGGUGACAAACCGGAGGAAGGUGGGGACGACGUCAAGUCAUCAUGGCCCUUACGAGUAGGGCUACACACGUGCUACAAUGGCCGGUACAAAGGGUUGCGAGCUCGCGAGAGUCAGCUAAUCCCGAAAAGCCGGUCUCAGUCCGGAUCGGAGUCUGCAACUCGACUCCGUGAAGUCGGAAUCGCUAGUAAUCGUGAAUCAGAAUGUCACGGUGAAUACGUUCCCGGGCCUUGUACACACCGCCCGUCACACCAUGGGAGUGGACUGCACCAGAAGUGGUAGCUUAACCUUCUGGGAAAGCGUCA
This 680-nucleotide ribosomal RNA is filed under the name Halomonas sp. Its description in RNAcentral is "bacterial SSU rRNA". It matches the Rfam family "Bacterial small subunit ribosomal RNA", at positions 775 to 1455 of the family's 1533-position model. The record is from RNAcentral. Lineage: Bacteria; Pseudomonadati; Pseudomonadota; Gammaproteobacteria; Oceanospirillales; Halomonadaceae.